Molecule: ribosomal RNA, 293 nt
Filed under: uncultured bacterium
Lineage: Bacteria
Description: partial 16S ribosomal RNA
Rfam family: Bacterial small subunit ribosomal RNA
Source: RNAcentral
CCCUACGGGGGGCAGCAGUAGGGAAUCUUCCACAAUGGACGAAAGUCUGAUGGAGCAACGCCGCGUGAGUGAAGAAGGGUUUCGGCUCGUAAAGCUCUGUUGGUAGUGAAGAAAGAUAGGGGUAGUAACUGGCCUUUAUUUGACGGUAAUUACUUAGAAAGUCACGGCUAACUACGUGCCAGCAGCCGCGGUAAUACGUAGGUGGCAAGCGUUGUCCGGAUUUAUUGGGCGUAAAGCGAGUGCAGGCGGUUCAAUAAGGCUGAUGUGAAAGACCUGGGGCCAACCAGAGAAUU